CAUGUACUCCCUCCGUCCGGAAAUACUUGUCGGGGAAAUGGAUACCUGACAAGUAUUUCCGGACGGAGGGAGUACUAC
Triticum aestivum (bread wheat) is the source of this 78-nucleotide non-coding RNA. The record is from Rfam. Lineage: Eukaryota; Viridiplantae; Streptophyta; Magnoliopsida; Poales; Poaceae.